Molecule: ribosomal RNA, 119 nt
Filed under: Pteropus alecto (black flying fox)
Lineage: Eukaryota; Metazoa; Chordata; Mammalia; Chiroptera; Pteropodidae
Source: RNAcentral
GUCUAUGGCCAUGCCACUCUGAACAAGCCUGAUCCUGUCUGAUCUUGGAAACUAAGCAGGGACGGGCCUGGUUAUUACUUGGAUGGGAGACUACCUAGGAAGACCAGGUGCUGUAGGCA